Molecule: unclassified non-coding RNA, 253 nt
Filed under: uncultured Caryophanales bacterium
Lineage: Bacteria; Bacillati; Bacillota; Bacilli; Caryophanales
Description: uncultured Bacillales bacterium contains 16S-23S intergenic spacer region
Rfam family: Bacterial small subunit ribosomal RNA
Source: RNAcentral
UACGUAGGGGGCAAGCGUUGUCCGGAAUUAUUGGGCGUAAAGGGCGCGUAGGCGGUUUCGUAAGUCUGAUGUGAAAGCCCACGGCUUAACCGUGGAGGGGCAUUGGAAACUGGGGAGCUUGAGUACAGAAGAGGAGAGUGGAAUUCCUCGUGUAGCGGUGAAAUGCGUAGAUAUGUGGAGGAACACCAGUGGCGAAGGCGACUCCCUGGUCUGUAACUGACGCUGAGGCGCGAAAGCGUGGGGAGCGAACAGG